AGAGGUCUCAAGCGUUGUUCGGAUUCAUUGGGCGUAAAGGGUGCGUAGGUGGUGGCGCAAGUCUGGUGUGAAAUCUCGGAGCUCAACUCCGAAAUUGCACCGGAUACUGCGUGACUCGAGGACUGUAGAGGAGAUCGGAAUUCACGGUGUAGCAGUGAAAUGCGUAGAUAUCGUGAGGAAGACCAGUUGCGAAGGCGGAUCUCUGGGCAGUUCCUGACACUGAGGCACGAAGGCCAGGGGAGCAAACGGGAUUAGAUACCCCGGUAGUCCUGGCAGUAAACGGUGCACGUUUGGUGUGGGCGGGUUCAGACCCCGUCCGUGCCGGAGCUAACGCGUUAAACGUGCCGCCUGGGAAGUACGGUCGCAAGAUUAAA
RNAcentral lists this ribosomal RNA (374 nucleotides) under uncultured bacterium. RNAcentral's name for it is "bacterial SSU rRNA". It matches the Rfam family "Bacterial small subunit ribosomal RNA", at positions 527 to 898 of the family's 1533-position model. The record is from RNAcentral.